Molecule: ribosomal RNA, 309 nt
Filed under: uncultured archaeon
Lineage: Archaea
Description: bacterial SSU rRNA
Rfam family: Archaeal small subunit ribosomal RNA
Source: RNAcentral
UGGCCGGACAAGUCCGUUGGGAAAUCCACCCGCCUAACGGGUGGGCGUCCAGCGGAAACUGUCCGGCUUGGGGCCGGACGACCCGAGGGGUACGUCCGGGGUAGGAGUGAAAUCCCGUAAUCCUGGACGGACCGCCGGUGGCGAAAGCGCCUCGGGAGGACGGACCCGACAGUGAGGGACGAAAGCCAGGGUCUCGAACCGGAUUAGAUACCCGGGUAGUCCUGGCCGUAAACGAUGCUCGCUAGGUGUGGCGCAGGCUACGAGCCUGCGCUGUGCCGUAGGGAAGCCGUGAAGCGAGCCGCCUGGGAA